GACGAGCAUCGAUAUUCUGGCCAUGGAAGUAGACGUCGCGGUCCAGGGUGACCUCGAGGUUCAGCUUGCCAGGAGAGAGCGUGAAGCUCUUGCUUACCAGGGUCUGGGGCUGGCGAUUGCUGGGUUCAAUAGGAGCAAACUGGACCUUUCGAACGGCGAAGCUGACGGAGUUCCGCUUGUGAGGACGUUCCUCCUUGCGGUCAGC
This 205-nucleotide unclassified non-coding RNA is filed under the name Hevea brasiliensis (rubber tree). The record is from RNAcentral. Lineage: Eukaryota; Viridiplantae; Streptophyta; Magnoliopsida; Malpighiales; Euphorbiaceae.